UUGAUCCUGGCUCAGAACGAACGCUGGCGGCGUGCUUAACACAUGCAAGUCGGAUGCGAACGGCGCUUUCGGGCGUUGAGUAGCAUGGCAGACGGGUGAGGAGCGCGUAUCUGACUGGACUCAGGCUGGGGGAUAGUCCCUCGAAAGGGGGUUGAAUACCGCGUGUGCUCGGUGCUGUGAGGGCAUCGAGGAAAGUUGGCCUCUGCGGGCACGCUGAUGGCCUGAGACAGGGAUGCGUCCUAUUAGCUAGCUGGUGGGGUAAGGGCCUACCAGGGCGACGAUGGGUAGCUGGUCUGAGAGGAUGAUCAGCCACACUGGGACUGCGACACGGCCCAGACUCCUACGGGAGGCAGCAGUGGGGAAUUUUGCGCAAUGGGCGCAAGCCUGACGCAGCAACGCCGCGUGCAUGACGACGCCUUUCGAGGUGUAAAGUGCUGUCGACCGGGACGAAGGGGCGAGGGUGAACAGCUUUCGCGCAUGACGGUACCGGUGGAGGAAGCCCCGGCUAACUCCGUGCCAGCAGCCGCGGUAAGACGGAGGGGGCGAGCGUUGUUCGGAAUUACUGGGCGUAAAGCGCGCGUAGGCGGUGCAGCAAGUGGUGCGUGAAAGCCCUCGGCUUAACCGGGGACGGGCGUGCCAAACUGUUGGACUGGAGUGCCGGAGGGGGAGGCCGGAAUUCCUGGUGGAGCGGUGAAAUGCGUAGAGAUCAGGAAGAACGUCGGUGGCGAAGGCGGCCCCCUGGACGGACACUGACGCUGAGGUGCGACAGCGUGGGGAGCGAACGGGAUUAGAUACCCCGGU
Molecule: ribosomal RNA, 801 nt
Filed under: uncultured organism
Description: bacterial SSU rRNA
Rfam family: Bacterial small subunit ribosomal RNA
Source: RNAcentral